This 460-nucleotide ribosomal RNA is filed under the name uncultured bacterium. Its description in RNAcentral is "partial 16S ribosomal RNA". It matches the Rfam family "Bacterial small subunit ribosomal RNA", at positions 338 to 795 of the family's 1533-position model. The record is from RNAcentral.
CCUACGGGUGGCAGCAGUGAGGAAUAUUGGUCAAUGGACGAGAGCCUGAACCAGCCAAGCCGCGUGAAGGAUGACUGCUCUAUGGGUUGUAAACUUCUUUUAUAAAGGAAUAAAACGAGGCACGUGUGCCUUUUUGCAUGUACUGUAUGAAUAAGGAUCGGCUAACUCCGUGCCAGCAGCCGCGGUAAUACGGAGGAUCCGAGCGUUAUCCGGAUUUAUUGGGUUUAAAGGGAGCGUAGGUGGGUUGAUAAGUUAGUUGUGAAAGUUUGCGGCUCAACAUUAAAGUUGCAAUUGAUACUGGCAGUCUUGAGUACAGUUGAGGUAGGCGGAAUUCGUGGUGUAGCGGUGAAAUGCUUAGAUAUUACGAAGAACCCCGAUUGCGAAGGCAGCUUACUAAACUGUGACUGACAUUGAUGCACGAAAGUGUGGGUAUCAAACAGGAUUAGAUACCCGGGUAGUC